RNAcentral lists this ribosomal RNA (253 nucleotides) under uncultured bacterium. RNAcentral's name for it is "partial 16S ribosomal RNA". It matches the Rfam family "Bacterial small subunit ribosomal RNA", at positions 524 to 776 of the family's 1533-position model. The record is from RNAcentral.
UACGUAGGGUGCGAGCGUUAAUCGGAAUUACUGGGCGUAAAGCGUGCGCAGGCGGCGCGUUAAGACAGGUGUGAAAGCCCCGAGCUUAACUUGGGAAUUGCGCUUGUGACUGGCGUGCUGGAGUGUGGCAGAGGGAGGUGGAAUUCCACGUGUAGCAGUGAAAUGCGUAGAGAUGUGGAGGAACACCGAUGGCGAAGGCAGCCCCCUGGGCUAAGAUUGACGCUCAUGCACGAAAGCGUGGGGAGCAAACAGG